UCCCUGGUGGCUCAGAUGGUAAAGCGUCCACCUACAGUGUGGGAGACCCGGGUUCAAUCCCUGGGUGAGGAA
RNAcentral lists this transfer RNA (72 nucleotides) under Ovis aries (sheep). It matches the Rfam family "tRNA". Rfam says of the family: Transfer RNA (tRNA) molecules are approximately 80 nucleotides in length. Their secondary structure includes four short double-helical elements and three loops (D, anti-codon, and T loops). The record is from Rfam by way of RNAcentral. Lineage: Eukaryota; Metazoa; Chordata; Mammalia; Artiodactyla; Bovidae.